Plenodomus lindquistii is the source of this 103-nucleotide non-coding RNA. NCBI's taxonomy places the organism in Eukaryota, Fungi, Ascomycota, Dothideomycetes, Pleosporales, Leptosphaeriaceae. The record is from the annotation of a GenBank genome assembly.
CGCAGCUGCUAACACAUCUUUCAGAUUGGUUAGCGCGUGAGACUUUUACGUACAAUGUACGAUGAAAUCUCAAGGCUCAGGGUUCGAGUCCCUGGUCGGGCGU